This 75-nucleotide transfer RNA is filed under the name Thermoplasmata archaeon. RNAcentral's name for it is "tRNA-Met". It matches the Rfam family "tRNA". From Rfam's summary of the family: Transfer RNA (tRNA) molecules are approximately 80 nucleotides in length. Lineage: Archaea; Methanobacteriati; Thermoplasmatota; Thermoplasmata. RNAcentral also lists the same sequence under 1 other name. The record is from RNAcentral.
AGCGGGGUGGGGUAGCCAGGAAAUCCCGACGGGCCCAUAACCCGUAGAUCGAUGGUUCAAAUCCAUCCCCCGCUA